UGGGAUAGGUUUCUCCUAAGGAGCCAUGC
RNAcentral lists this non-coding RNA (29 nucleotides) under Mus musculus (house mouse). Lineage: Eukaryota; Metazoa; Chordata; Mammalia; Rodentia; Muridae. The record is from RNAcentral.